This 1364-nucleotide ribosomal RNA is filed under the name Didymocyrtis foliaceiphila. RNAcentral's name for it is "eukaryotic LSU rRNA". It matches the Rfam family "Eukaryotic large subunit ribosomal RNA", at positions 66 to 1450 of the family's 3401-position model. The record is from RNAcentral. Lineage: Eukaryota; Fungi; Ascomycota; Dothideomycetes; Pleosporales; Phaeosphaeriaceae.
AAACAGGGAUUGCCCUAGUAACGGCGAGUGAAGCGGCAACAGCUCAAAUUUGAAAUCUGGCUCUUUCAGAGUCCGAGUUGUAAUUUGCAGAGGGCGCUUUGGCGUUGGCAGCGGUCCAAGUUCUUUGGAACAGGACGUCACAGAGGGUGAGAAUCCCGUACGUGGUCGCUAGCCUUCGCCGUGUAAAGCCCCUUCGACGAGUCGAGUUGUUUGGGAAUGCAGCUCUAAAUGGGAGGUAAAUUUCUUCUAAAGCUAAAUACUGGCCAGAGACCGAUAGCGCACAAGUAGAGUGAUCGAAAGAUGAAAAGCACUUUGGAAAGAGAGUCAAAUAGCACGUGAAAUUGUUGAAAGGGAAGCGCUUGCAGCCAGACUUGCCUGUAGUUGCUUAUCCGGACUUUUGUCCGGUGCACUCUUCUGCGGGCAGGCCAGCAUCAGUUUGGGCGGUUGGAUAAAGGUCUCUGUCAUGUACCUCCUUUCGGGGAGGCCUUAUAGGGGAGACGACAUACAACCAGCCUGGACUGAGGUCCGCGCAUCUGCUAGGAUGCUGGCGUAAUGGCUGUAAGCGGCCCGUCUUGAAACACGGACCAAGGAGUCUAACAUCUAUGCGAGUGUUUGGGUGUCAAGCCCAGACGCGUAAUGAAAGUGAACGGAGGUGGGAACCUUUUAGGUGCACCAUCGACCGAUCCUGAUGUCUUCGGAAGGAUUUGAGUAAGAGCAUGGCUGUUGGGACCCGAAAGAUGGUGAACUAUGCUUGAAUAGGGUGAAGCCAGAGGAAACUCUGGUGGAGGCUCGCAGCGGUUCUGACGUGCAAAUCGAUCGUCAAAUUUGGGCAUAGGGGCGAAAGACUAAUCGAACUAUCUAGUAGCUGGUUCCUGCCGAAGUUUCCCUCAGGAUAGCAGUAACGUAUUCAGUUUUAUGAGGUAAAGCGAAUGAUUAGAGGCCUGGGGGUUGAAACAACCUUCACCUAUUCUCAAACUUUAAAUAUGUAAGAAGUCCUUGUUACUUGAUUGAACGUGGACACUUGAAUGUACCGUUACUAGUGGGCCAUUUUUGGUAAGCAGAACUGGCGAUGCGGGAUGAACCGAACGCGGGGUUAAGGUGCCAGAAUAUACGCUCAUCAGACACCACAAAAGGUGUUAGUUCAUCUAGACAGCAGGACGGUGGCCAUGGAAGUCGGAAUCCGCUAAGGAGUGUGUAACAACUCACCUGCCGAAUGAACUAGCCCUGAAAAUGGAUGGCGCUCAAGCGUAUUACCCAUACCCCGCCGCCGGGGCAGAAUUUAUGCCCCGGCGAGUAGGCAGGCGUGGAGGCUCGUGACGAAGCCUUGGGGGUGACCCCGGGUCGAACGGCCUCUAGUGCAGAUC